GACGAACGCUGGCGGCGUGCCUAAUACAUGCCAGUAGAACGCUGAAGGAGGAGCUUGCUCUUCUGGAUGAGUUGCGAACGGGUGAGUAACGCGUAGGUAACCUGCCUGGUAGCGGGGGAUAACUAUUGGAAACGAUAGCUAAUACCGCAUAACAGUAGAUGUUGCAUGACAUUUACUUAAAAGGUGCAAUUGCAUCACUACCAGAUGGACCUGCGUUGUAUUAGCUAGUUGGUGGGGUAACGGCUCACCAAGGCGACGAUACAUAGCCGACCUGAGAGGGUGAUCGGCCACACUGGGACUGAGACACGGCCCAGACUCCUACGGGAGGCAGCAGUAGGGAAUCUUCGGCAAUGGACGGAAGUCUGACCGAGCAACGCCGCGUGAGUGAAGAAGGUUUUCGGAUCGUAAAGCUCUGUUGUAAGAGAAGAACGAGUGUGAGAGUGGAAAGUUCACACUGUGACGGUAUCUUACCAGAAAGGGACGGCUAACUACGUG
Molecule: ribosomal RNA, 495 nt
Filed under: uncultured bacterium
Lineage: Bacteria
Description: partial 16S ribosomal RNA
Rfam family: Bacterial small subunit ribosomal RNA
Source: RNAcentral